RNAcentral lists this ribosomal RNA (862 nucleotides) under uncultured organism. RNAcentral's name for it is "bacterial SSU rRNA". It matches the Rfam family "Bacterial small subunit ribosomal RNA", at positions 1 to 883 of the family's 1533-position model. The record is from RNAcentral.
AUUCGCCCUUAGAGUUUGAUCCUGGCUCAGGACGAACGCUGGCGGCGUGCCUUAGACAUGCAAGUCGAGCGAGAACUUCGGUUCUAGCGGCAAACGGCGCAGUAAUACGUAAGCAACGUGCCCCCAAGACUGGGACAGUCCGGGGAAACCCGGUUUAAUACCAGAUGUGGCCGUUCUUCCGCCUGGAAGAACGAUUAAAGGACUUCGGUCGCUUAGGGAGCGGCUUACGACCUAUCAGGUAGUUGGUGAGGUAACGGCUCACCAAGCCUACGACGGGUAGCGGGUCUGAGAGGAUGAUCCGCGCGAGUGGGACUGAGACACGGCCCACACACCUACGGGUGGCAGCAGUUUGGAAUAUUGCACAAUGGGGGAAACCCUGAUGCAGCGACGCCGCGUGGGGGAUGACGGAUUUCGGUCUGUAAACCCCUUUUGCCAGGAAAGACUUAGGACGGUACCUGGCGAAUAAGCCCCGGCUAACUACGUGCCAGCAGCCGCGGUAAUACGUAGGGGGCGAGCGUUGUCCGGAUUUACUGGGCGUAAAGGGCGCGCAGGCGGCCUGCUAAGUGUGAAGUGAAAUCUCCUGGCUCAACCAGGAAAUUGCUUUGCAUACUGGCAGGCUAGAGAAAGGCAGAGGUAGAUGGAAUUCCCGGUGUAGCGGUGACAUGCGUUGAUAUCGGGAGGAACACCAAUGGCGAAGGCAGUCUACUGGGCCUCUUCUGACGCUCAGGCGCGAAAGCGUGGGUAGCAAACAGGAUUAGAUACCCUGGUAGUCCACGCCCUAAACGAUGGAUACUAGGCGUUAGGGGUAUCGACCCCCUUAGUGCCGCAGCAAACGCGAUAAGUAUUCCCGCCUGGGGACUAC